Cyprinus carpio (common carp) is the source of this 1274-nucleotide long non-coding RNA. The record is from Ensembl. NCBI's taxonomy places the organism in Eukaryota, Metazoa, Chordata, Actinopteri, Cypriniformes, Cyprinidae.
AUGUUCUCUGUAGGAGCUUUCCACAUCAUGGAUGGAUGGAAAACCACAGGGAAGGCCAUCAUGCCACAGCUGGUGGUGAAGAUUGUUGGUGGGAAACAAAUUAAGUAUUUUACUGAUGGGACAAAAAGUCCCACAGAUCAUCUUGAGGUAACAAACUGCUCAGAGGACAGACACAGUCCACCUGUCAGAGUCACGGAUGGAGAUUUAAGCAGAAAAUCACCUUCUCAUGACCUGGAGCAUCUGAGACCAGUUGAGCACACAGCAAACCUGUUAGAUGCCAUCAGACAGGUUCCAGAAAGACGUUGUGUGACGGCGCCAUGUGGAGAUCGUUCACGGUCCUACAUACAUCUGAAGUCCUCAACCAACAUGGGUUACUCAAAACAAAUCAUGCAAAUUCCUCAUAUUACAGAGGAACAGAUGGAGGAGCCAAUUAAAUCCAGUCCAGAGUUCUGCCUCCUCUCAUCUGUCUCGGAGGAACUGCAGGAUUUGGAACCACAAACAUUCCAGAUCAUGGAGGAGGAAGUGACAUCACUUGAUCCGUCCCGAUCCGGAAUCAUCCAUCAGUCAGAACUCACGGGUCUCUUCCUCAGACUGAAGCUCCCUCUGAAGCUCACCACACUGGCCUGCAUGUUCAGAUCCUUCAGAAACACCACUGACCUGGAGCAGGUGCACUAUCAAGACUUGCUGCAGUUCAUACAGAAGGCUGUACAAGACGUGAAACAGCAAAGUGUUGAGGCAGAGAUCUGGGAUGCGUCAGUGGGCAGUACUGACCUGGAAUCAGUGAGCGACUGGAGCGAUAUAAAUGAAGAACAAAGAGAGACAUGGCUUCAGAGGUUCCAGAAGAUGGAGAUGGCCUUACAAAUGUGUGACACCAGAAACACAGGUUAUGUGGAUAGAGAGCAAGCCAAACGCCUGAUACAGAACUACAGCCUCAUCUUUGAUCUGAAUAUGAGUCCACUGAAGAUCAGCGAGGUCAUGGGUAACACUCAGCGAGAGGGCAAAGUUCACCUCACCUCGACUCUGCAGCAGCUGAAGGAACUAUACUCUUCUUUAUCUUUCACUUAAAUCUAUGCAAAUGCUAUCAUCUUCAUUAAAUGCUCUGUCUAGGAAACAUUAACAAUGAUCCUGUAAAAAAGGCUUUUUUGGAAAAAUUGAAAACUGAUUGAAUUUUUAUUUUUUAUUUUUUUUGUAUAAUAUAUUGUAUAAAAAAAACUUAAUCCUAAAUUAAUCAUAUCCUAAAUAAAUAAAUAUUCCUAAGAAUAAUUGUAAUUUUC